This 253-nucleotide ribosomal RNA is filed under the name uncultured bacterium. RNAcentral's name for it is "partial 16S ribosomal RNA". It matches the Rfam family "Bacterial small subunit ribosomal RNA", at positions 524 to 776 of the family's 1533-position model. The record is from RNAcentral.
UACAGAGGUCUCAAGCGUUGUUCGGAUUCAUUGGGCGUAAAGGGUGCGUAGGCGGCGCGGUAAGUCGGGUGUGAAAUCUCGGGGCUUAACUCCGAAACUGCAUUCGAUACUACCGUGCUUGAGGACUGGAGAGGAGACUUGAAUUUACGGUGUAGCGGUGAAAUGCGUAGAUAUCGUAAGGAAGACCAGUGGCGAAGGCGUGUCUCUGGACAGUUCCUGACGCUGAGGCACGAAGGCCAGGGGAGCAAACGGG